ACAGAGGCCUCGAGCGUUAGGCGGAAUCACUGGGCUUAAAGCGUGUGUAGGUGGAUGCCUAAGUACUUUGUGAAAUCCCACGGCUUAACCGUGGAAUUGCUUGGUAUACUGGGUGUCUUGAGCCACUCAGGGGCUACCGGAACAAACGGUGGAGCGGUGAAAUGCGUAGAUAUCGGAAGGAACAUCAGUGGCGAAAGCGACUUCCUGGACCAGUACCGACGUUCAGGCACGAAAGCGUGGGGAGCAAACAGGA
Molecule: ribosomal RNA, 253 nt
Filed under: uncultured prokaryote
Description: partial 16S ribosomal RNA
Rfam family: Bacterial small subunit ribosomal RNA
Source: RNAcentral